CCUACGGGGAGGCAGCAGUGAGGAAUAUUGGUCAAUGGACGAGAGUCUGAACCAGCCAAGUAGCGUGAAGGAUGACUGCCCUAUGGGGUGUAAACUUCUUUUAUAAAGGAAUAAAACGAGGCACGUGUGCCUUUUUGCAUGUACUUUAUGAAUAAGGAUCGGCUAACGCCGUGCCAGCAGCCGCGGUAAUACGGAGGAUGCGAGCGUUAUCCGGAUUUAAUGGGUUUAAAGGGUGCGUAGGCGGGCUUUUAAGUCAGCGGUAAAAAUUAGGGGCUAAACCCCGUCCGGUCGUUGAAACUGGGGGCCGUGAGUGGGCGAGAAGAAGGCGGAAGGCGUGGUGUAGCGGUGAAAUGCAUAGAUAGCACGCAGAACCCCGAUUGCGAAGGCAGCCUUCCGGCGCCCUACUGACGCUGAGGCACGAAAGUGCGGGGAUCGAACAGGAUUAGAUACCCUUGUAGUC
This 460-nucleotide ribosomal RNA is filed under the name uncultured bacterium. RNAcentral describes it as "partial 16S ribosomal RNA". It matches the Rfam family "Bacterial small subunit ribosomal RNA", at positions 338 to 795 of the family's 1533-position model. The record is from RNAcentral.